Molecule: ribosomal RNA, 453 nt
Filed under: uncultured bacterium
Lineage: Bacteria
Description: bacterial SSU rRNA
Rfam family: Bacterial small subunit ribosomal RNA
Source: RNAcentral
UACGGGAGGCAGCAGUGGGGAAUAUUGCACAAUGGGCGCAAGCCUGAUGCAGCCAUGCCGCGUGUAUGAAGAAGGCCUUCGGGUUGUAAAGUACUUUCAGUCGUGAGGAAGGUGUUAAGGUUAAUAACCUUAGCAAUUGACGUUAGCGACAGAAGAAGCACCGGCUAACUCCGUGCCAGCAGCCGCGGUAAUACGGAGGGUGCGAGCGUUAAUCGGAAUUACUGGGCGUAAAGGGCACGCAGGCGGUUAAUUAAGUUGGAUGUGAAAUCCCCGGACUUAACCUGGGAAUGGCAUUCAAGACUGGUUAGCUAGAGUCUUGUAGAGGGGGUAGAAUUCCAUGUGUAGCGGUGAAAUGCGUAGAGAUGUGGAGGAAUACCGGUGGCGAAGGCGGCCCCUGGACAAAGACUGACGCUCAUGUGCGAAAGCGUGGGGAGCAAACAGGGAUUAGAUACC